CCCAGUAAACGGCGGCCGUAACUAUAACGGUCCUAAGGUAGCGAAAUUCCUUGUCGGGUAAGUUCCGACCCGCACGAAAGGCGUAAUGAUUUGGGCACUGUCUCAACAAUGCACCCGGUGAAAUUGAAAUACCAGUGAAGAUGCUGGUUACCUGCGCCAGGACGGAAAGACCCCAUGGAGCUUUACUCCAGCUUGAUACUGGGAUUCGAUAUUGCAUGUACAGGAUAGGUGGGAGACUGAGAACUGAUGACGCCAGUUGUCAGGGAGUCACUGUUGGGAUACCACCCUUGUAGUAUUGGAUUUCUAACCAGCAGCCGUGAACCGGCUGGGGGACAAUGUCAGGUGGGGAGUUUGACUGGGGCGGUCGCCUCCGAAAGGGUAUCGGAGGCGCUCAAAGGUUCCCUCAGAAUGGUUGGAAACCAUUCGAAGAGUGCAAAGGCAGAAGGGAGCUUGACUGCGACACCGACGGGUGGAGCAGGUACGAAAGUAGGACUUAGUGAUCCGGUGGUAUAAAGUGGGAUUGCCAUCGCUCAACGGAUAAAAGCUACCCUGGGGAUAACAGGCUUAUCACUCCCAAGAGUUCACAUCGACGGAGUGGUUUGGCACCUCGAUGUCGGCUCAUCGCAUCCUGGGGCUGAAGUAGGUCCCAAGGGUUGGGCUGUUCGCCCAUUAAAGCGGUACGCGAGCUGGGUUCAGAACGUCGUGAGACAGUUCGGUCCCUAUCCGGCGUGGGCGUAGGAUAUUUGAGAGGAGCUGCCCUUAGUACGAGAGGACCGGGGUGGACUGGCCGCUGGUGGAUCUGUUGUAUUACCAAAUGCAUAGCAGAGUAGCCAAGCCGGGACGGGAUAAACGCUGAAGGCAUCUAAGCGUGAAGCCCCCCUCAAGAUGAGAUAUCCCAUAACGUCAAGUUAGUAAGACCCCUUGAAGACGACGAGGUAGAUAGGGCAGAGGUGGAAGUGCGGUAACGCAUGGAGCUGACUGUUACUAAUAGGUCGAGGGCAUAACCAA
This 1008-nucleotide ribosomal RNA is filed under the name human gut metagenome. RNAcentral's name for it is "bacterial LSU rRNA". It matches the Rfam family "Bacterial large subunit ribosomal RNA", at positions 1919 to 2925 of the family's 2925-position model. The record is from RNAcentral.